Molecule: ribosomal RNA, 652 nt
Filed under: Salmonella enterica subsp. enterica serovar Panama
Lineage: Bacteria; Pseudomonadati; Pseudomonadota; Gammaproteobacteria; Enterobacterales; Enterobacteriaceae
Also listed under: 1 other name
Description: partial 23S ribosomal RNA
Rfam family: Bacterial large subunit ribosomal RNA
Source: RNAcentral
UGUUUGAUGUUCUAACGUGGACCCGUGAUCCGGGUUGCGGACAGUGUCUGGUGGGUAGUUUGACUGGGGCGGUCUCCUCCUAAAGAGUAACGGAGGAGCACGAAGGUUGGCUAAUCCUGGUCGGACAUCAGGAGGUUAGUGCAAUGGCAUAAGCCAGCUUGACUGCGAGCGUGACGGCGCGAGCAGGUGCGAAAGCAGGUCAUAGUGAUCCGGUGGUUCUGAAUGGAAGGGCCAUCGCUCAACGGAUAAAAGGUACUCCGGGGAUAACAGGCUGAUACCGCCCAAGAGUUCAUAUCGACGGCGGUGUUUGGCACCUCGAUGUCGGCUCAUCACAUCCUGGGGCUGAAGUAGGUCCCAAGGGUAUGGCUGUUCGCCAUUUAAAGUGGUACGCGAGCUGGGUUUAGAACGUCGUGAGACAGUUCGGUCCCUAUCUGCCGUGGGCGCUGGAGAACUGAGGGGGGCUGCUCCUAGUACGAGAGGACCGGAGUGGACGCAUCACUGGUGUUCGGGUUGUCAUGCCAAUGGCACUGCCCGGUAGCUAAAUGCGGAAGAGAUAAGUGCUGAAAGCAUCUAAGCACGAAACUUGCCCCGAGAUGAGUUCUCCCUGAGACUUUAGGUCUCCUGAAGGAACGUUGAAGACGACGACGUUGAU